UCCGGUUUGUCACCGGCAGUCUCAGUAAAGUGCCCAACUUAAUGAUGGCAAUUACCGACAAGGGUUGCGCUCGUUGCGGGACUUAACCCAACAUCUCACGACACGAGCUGACGACAGCCAUGCAGCACCUGUGUACCCAUUCUCUUGCGAGCACCCUCACAUCUCUGUAAGGUCUGGGCCAUGUCAAGGGUAGGUAAGGUUUUUCGCGUUGCAUCGAAUUAAUCCACAUCAUCCACCGCUUGUGCGGGUCCCCGUCAAUUCCUUUGAGUUUUAAUCUUGCGACCGUACUCCCCAGGCGGUCAACUUCACGCGUUAGCUGCGUUACCAAGACAAUUAAGUCCCGACAACUAGUUGACAUCGUUUAGGGCGUGGACUAC
This 377-nucleotide unclassified non-coding RNA is filed under the name uncultured Gammaproteobacteria bacterium. Its description in RNAcentral is "contains 16S-23S intergenic spacer region". Lineage: Bacteria; Pseudomonadati; Pseudomonadota; Gammaproteobacteria. The record is from RNAcentral.